RNAcentral lists this ribosomal RNA (253 nucleotides) under uncultured bacterium. Its description in RNAcentral is "partial 16S ribosomal RNA". It matches the Rfam family "Bacterial small subunit ribosomal RNA", at positions 524 to 776 of the family's 1533-position model. The record is from RNAcentral.
UACAGAGACCUCAAGCGUUAUCCGGAUUUAUUGGGCGUAAAGCGUCCGCAGGUGGCGGCGUCAGUCAUCGGUCAAAUCCGUGGGCUCAACCCAGGGACUGCCGGUGAUACUGCGUCGCUCGAGGACGGGAGAGGCGAGCGGAAUUGCUGGUGUAGUAGUAAAAUGCGUUAAUAUCAGCAAGAACACCGAAGGCGAAGGCAGCUCGCUGGAACGUUCCUGACACUCAUGGACGAAAGCGUGGGUAGCGAAAGGG